UUGACAGGCCUGCUGCACAACUGGGUAAAACAUGAAUUACAAUCAGACAAGCCAAGGCCUCAGGAGAUGUCAGAUGAAUUCCUACUUGAAAAUUGCAUUUGGCAGGAGAGCUAAAAUUGGACCAGCUGCAGACGCUGAGAGGAACACCUAGCUUUGGGGCAACCAAACACUUUACUAUCACUUGACACCGUUUGCAUAUCUCCACCUGAAAAUAAAAUAGACGACAACAACAACAUGACAACACCACUAUGGGCACGACCAGUAAAACUACUUGAAUUUCCACUGGGAGAGCUUUAAGAUGUGCUUAACUCUACUAUCAAUCUCAACAACAACAAAAACACACACAGUCUCUUCAAGACCCGAUGUGAUAUGCUUCUUGGAGAGAAUAACACUUCCUAUAAACAAUACAGGCACAAAGGGCACAAUUAUUUUGUAUCCAAAAUCAAUGCCAAGAAAUCUCUUGAACACAAAGGAAAUAUGGAUAAAUCCCAAAGUCACUUCCAGGGUUAUGUUUCCUGCAUCAAAAACACUCAUCUGUAUGACAAGGGGCGGGAAUCAUUUCAAGCAGAGCAAUGGAUUCCCCCAUCAAGACAUCCAAUGGAUCUCAUUAACAGCAUCCCUCCUCCA
This is a long non-coding RNA of Rhineura floridana, 627 nucleotides long. RefSeq lists it as uncharacterized. The record is from RefSeq and is a predicted model, not a curated record. The transcript is spliced from 3 exons. Lineage: Eukaryota; Metazoa; Chordata; Lepidosauria; Squamata; Rhineuridae.